Molecule: ribosomal RNA, 460 nt
Filed under: uncultured bacterium
Lineage: Bacteria
Description: partial 16S ribosomal RNA
Rfam family: Bacterial small subunit ribosomal RNA
Source: RNAcentral
CCUACGGGCGGCAGCAGUGAGGAAUAUUGGUCAAUGGACGAGAGUCUGAACCAGCCACGUAGCGUGAAGGAUGACUGCCCUAUGGGUUGUAAACUUCUUUUAUAAAGGAAUAAAACGAGGCACGUGUGCCUUUUUGCAUGUACUUUAUGAAUAAGGAUCGGCUAACUCCGUGCCAGCAGCCGCGGUAAUACGGAGGAUCCGAGCGUUAUCCGGAUUUAUUGGGUUUUAAGGGAGCGUAGAUGGGUUGUUAAGUCAGUUGGGAAAGUUUGCGGCUCAACCGUAAAAUUGCAAUUGAUACUGGCAGUCUUGAGUACAGGUGAGGUAGGCGGAAUUCGUGGUGUAGCGGUGAAAUGCUUAGAUAGCACGAAGAACCCCGAUUGCGAAGGCAGCUUACUAAACUGUGACUGACAUUGAUGCUCGAAAGUGUGGGGAGCAAACAGGAUUAGAUACCCUUGUAGUC